RNAcentral lists this ribosomal RNA (245 nucleotides) under uncultured bacterium. RNAcentral describes it as "partial 16S ribosomal RNA". It matches the Rfam family "Bacterial small subunit ribosomal RNA", at positions 526 to 771 of the family's 1533-position model. The record is from RNAcentral.
CGUAGGUGGCAAGCGUUGUCCGGAAUUAUUGGGCGUAAAGCGCGCGCAGGCGGCUUCUUAAGUCCAUCUUAAAAGUGUGGGGCUUAACCCCGUGAUGGGAUGGAAACUGAGAGGCUGGAGUAUCGGAGAGGAAAGUGGAAUUCCUAGUGUAGCGGUGAAAUGCGUAGAGAUUAGGAAGAACACCGGUGGCGAAGGCGACUUUCUGGACGACAACUGACGCUGAGGCGCGAAAGCGUGGGGAGCAA